UAGAAACGCUGAAGAGAGGAGCUUGCUCUUCUUGGAUGAGUUGCGAACGGGUGAGUAACGCGUAGGUAACCUGCCUUGUAGCGGGGGAUAACUAUUGGAAACGAUAGCUAAUACCGCAUAACAAUGGAUGACACAUGUCAUUUAUUUGAAAGGGGCAAUUGCUCCACUACAAGAUGGACCUGCGUUGUAUUAGUCGAGUAGGUGAGGUAACGGCUCACCUAGGCGACGAUACAUAGCCGACCUGAGAGGGUGAUCGGCCACACUGGGACUGAGACACGGCCCAGACUCCUACGGGAGGCAGCAGUAGGGAAUCUUCGGCAAUGGGGGCAACCCUGACCGAGCAACGCCGCGUGAGUGAAGAAGGUUUUCGGAUCGUAAAGCUCUGUUGUAAGUCAAGAACGAGUGUGAGAGUGGAAAGUUCACACUGUGACGGUAGCUUACCAGAAAGGGACGGCUAACUACGUGCCAGCAGCCGCGGUAAUACGUAGGUCCCGAGCGUUGUCCGGAUUUAUUGGGCGUAAAGCGAGCGCAGGCGGUUUGAUAAGUCUGAAGUUAAAGGCUGUGGCUCAACCAUAGUUCGCUUUGGAAACUGUCAAACUUGAGUGCAGAAGGGGAGAGUGGAAUUCCAUGUGUAGCGGUGAAAAUGCGUAGAUAUAUGGAGGAACACCGGUGGCGAAAGCGGCUCUCUGGUCUGUAACUGACGCUGAGGCUCGAAAGCGUGGGGGAGCGAACAGGAUUAGAUACCCUGGUAGUCCACGCCGUAAACGAUGAGUGCUAGGUGUUGGAUCCCUUUUCCGGGAUUCAGUGCCGCAGCUUAACGCAUUAAAGCACUCCGCCCUGGGGAGUACGAACCGCAAGGUUGAAAACUCAAAAGGAAUUUGACGGGGGGCCCGCACAAGCGGUGGGAACAUGUGGUUUAAUUUCGAAA
Molecule: ribosomal RNA, 928 nt
Filed under: uncultured bacterium
Lineage: Bacteria
Description: bacterial SSU rRNA
Rfam family: Bacterial small subunit ribosomal RNA
Source: RNAcentral